This 1467-nucleotide ribosomal RNA is filed under the name uncultured bacterium. Its description in RNAcentral is "bacterial SSU rRNA". It matches the Rfam family "Bacterial small subunit ribosomal RNA". The record is from RNAcentral.
AAUAAACGCUGGCGGCGUGCUUAACACAUGCAAGUCGAGCGCGAAAGCUUCUUCGGAAGUGAGUAGAGCGGCGGACGGGUGAGUAACACGUGAGUUAUCUACCCUUUAGUGAAGAAUACCCUUGAGAAAUUAAGGCUAAUACUGCAUAAGUCCCUUCGGGGAGAAAGAUGGCCUCUUGCUGUCGCUAAAGGAUGAGCUUGCGCGCUAUUAGUUAGUUGGUGAGGUAAAGGCUCACCAAGGCGAUGAUGGCUAGCCGGCCUGAGAGGGUGUACGGCCACACUGGAACUGAGACACGGUCCAGACUCCUACGGGAGGCAGCAGUGAGGAAUAUUGCGCAAUGGGCGAAAGCCUGACGCAGCGACGCCGCGUGGGGGAUGAAGGCUUUCGAGUCGUAAACUCCUGUUAAGUGGGAAGAAAAGCCGAAUUUCAAUAAAGUUCGGCAAUGACGGUACCAUUAGAGAAAGCACCGGCUAACUUCGUGCCAGCAGCCGCGGUAAUACGAAGGGUGCAAGCGUUAUUCGGAAUCAUUGGGCGUAAAGGGUGUGUAGGCGGUAUAUUAAGUCACUUGUUAAAUCCUUCGGCUCAACCGAAGAGUGGCGAGUGAAACUAAUAUGCUAGAGGAUGGAAGAGAGAAGUGGAAUUCUCGGAGUAGCGGUAAAAUGUGUAGAUCUCGAGAGGAACACCGAUGGCGAAGGCAGCUUCUUGGUCCAUUCCUGACGCUGAGACACGAAAGCGUGGGUAGCAAACAGGAUUAGAUACCCUGGUAGUCCACGCUGUAAACGAUGAUCACUAGACGUCAGUUCUGUUUUACGGAAUUGGUGUCGUAGCUAACGCGUUAAGUGAUCCGCCUGGGGAGUACGGUCGCAAGACUAAAACUCAAAGGAAUUGACGGGGGCCCGCACAAGCGGUGGAACAUGUGGUUUAAUUCGAUAAUACGCGAGGAACCUUACCUAGACUUGACAUGUUUUUGACAACCGUGGAAACACGGCUUUUUAGGCUUUUGUCUAAACAAUUACACAGGUGCUGCAUGGCUGUCGUCAGCUCGUGUCGUGAGAUGUUGGGUUAAGUCCUUUAACGAGCGCAACCCCUGCUGUCAGUUGCUACUUGCUUUGCAAGGCACUCUGGCGGGACUGCCUGGGAAACCAGGAGGAAGGUGGGGACGACGUCAAGUCAUCAUGGUCCUUAUGUCUAGGGCUACACACGUGUUACAAUGGCCAGUACAAAGGGUUGCAAUCCCGCAAGGGGGAGCUAAUCUCACAAAGCUGGUCUAAGUUCGGAUUGGGGUCUGCAAUUCGACCCCAUGAAGUUGAAAUCGCUAGUAAUCGCGUAUCAGCAAUGACGCGGUGAAUACGUUCUCGGGCCUUGUACACACCGCCCGUCACACCACGAAAGUUGUCUGUACCCGAAGUCACUUUAGCCAACCCUUAGGGGAGGCGAGUGCCUAAGGUGUGGGUGAUGAUUGGGGUG